CCUACGGGAGGCAGCAGUGAGGAAUAUUGGUCAAUGGACGCAAGCCUGAACCAGCCAUGUCGCGUGCAGGAAGACGGCCCUACGAGUUGUAAACUGCUUUUGUACGGGGGUAAACGCAGACACGCGUGCCUGUCUGUAUGUACCGUACGAAUAAGGAUCGGCUAACUCCGUGCCAGCAGCCGCGGUAAUACGGAGGAUUCGAGCGUUAUCCGGAUUUAUUGGGGUUAAAGGGAGCGUAGGCGGGUUGUUAAGUCAGAUGUGAAAUUUUGCGGCUCAACCGCGGAAUUGACUUUGAUACUGGCCGUCUAGAGAGCAGUUGAGGUAGGCGGAAUGUGUGGUGUAGCGGUGAAAUGCUUAGAGAUCACGCAGAACACCGAUUGCGAAGGCAGCUUACUAAGCUGCUACUGACGUUGAGGCACGAAAGUGUGGGUAGCAAACAGGAUUAGAUACCCGAGUAGUC
This 460-nucleotide ribosomal RNA is filed under the name uncultured bacterium. RNAcentral describes it as "partial 16S ribosomal RNA". It matches the Rfam family "Bacterial small subunit ribosomal RNA", at positions 338 to 795 of the family's 1533-position model. The record is from RNAcentral.